AACACGUACACAACCUUCCUAUAAGUGGGGAAUAGCCCAGAGAAAUUUGGAUUAAUACCCCGUAACAUAAUGAUGUGGCAUCACAUUAUUAUUAUAGCUUCGGCGCUUAUUGAUGGGUGUGCGGCUGAUUAGAUAGUUGGCGGGGUAACGGCCCACCAAGUCUACGAUCAGUAGCUGAUGUGAGAGCAUGAUCAGCCACACGGGCACUGAGACACGGGCCCGACUCCUACGGGAGGCAGCAGUAAGGAAUAUUGGUCAAUGGACGCAAGUCUGAACCAGCCAUGCCGCGUGAAGGAUUAAGGUCCUCUGGAUUGUAAACUUCUUUUAUCUGGGACGAAAAAAGGCUAUUCUUAGUCACUUGACGGUACCAGAUGAAUAAGCACCGGCUAACUCCGUGCCAGCAGCCGCGGUAAUACGGAGGGUGCAAGCGUUAUCCGGAUUCCCUGGGUUUAAAGGGCGCGUAGGCGGGCAGGUAAGUCAGUGGUGAAAUCCUGGAGCUUAACUCCAGAACUGCCAUUGAUACUAUCUGUCUUGAAUAUUGUGGAGGUAAGCGGAAUAUGUCAUGUAGCGGUGAAAUGCUUAGAUAUGACAUAG
This 594-nucleotide ribosomal RNA is filed under the name uncultured bacterium. RNAcentral describes it as "bacterial SSU rRNA". It matches the Rfam family "Bacterial small subunit ribosomal RNA", at positions 112 to 704 of the family's 1533-position model. The record is from RNAcentral.